This 394-nucleotide ribosomal RNA is filed under the name uncultured bacterium. RNAcentral describes it as "partial 16S ribosomal RNA". It matches the Rfam family "Bacterial small subunit ribosomal RNA", at positions 523 to 918 of the family's 1533-position model. The record is from RNAcentral.
AUACGUAGGGAGCGAGCGUUGUCCGGAAUUACUGGGCGUAAAGGGCGCGUAGGCGGCGCUUCAAGUCGUCUGUCAAAUGGGAGGGCUUGACCCUUUUUCGCAGACGAAACUGGAGAGCUUGAGAAGCAGAGAGGCAAACAGAAUUCCUGGUGUAGCGGUGAAAUGCGUAGAUAUCAGGAAGAAUACCAGUGGCGAAGGCGGUUUGCUGGCUGCAUACUGACGCUGAAGCGCGAAAGCCAGGGGAGCAAACGGGAUUAGAUACCCCGGUAGUCCUGGCAGUAAACGAUGUAUGCUGGGUGUGAGACUAGCGAUAGUUUCGUGCCGAAGUUAACGCGAUAAGCAUACCGCCUGGGGAGUACGGUCGCAAGAUUGAAACUCAAAGGAAUUGGCGGGG